Molecule: ribosomal RNA, 407 nt
Filed under: uncultured Bdellovibrio sp.
Lineage: Bacteria; Pseudomonadati; Bdellovibrionota; Bdellovibrionia; Bdellovibrionales; Pseudobdellovibrionaceae
Description: bacterial SSU rRNA
Rfam family: Bacterial small subunit ribosomal RNA
Source: RNAcentral
UAGGGAAUAUUGCACAAUGGAGGAAACUCUGAUGCAGCGACGCCGCGUGAGUGAUGAAGGCCUUCGGGUCGUAAAGCUCUGUCGCAGGGGAAUAACACAAUGAAGGUACCCUGUAAGAAAGGAUCGGCUAACUUCGUGCCAGCAGCCGCGGUAAGACGAGGGAUCCUAGCGUUGUUCGGAAUCAUUGGGCGUAAAGCGGGUGUAGGUGGCUUUGUAAGUCAGGUGUGAAAGCCUAGGGCUCAACCCUAGAAGUGCAUUUGAUACUGCGAAGCUUGAGUGCUAGAGAGGUUACUAGAAUUGUUGGUGUAGUGGUGAAAUACGUAGAUAUCAACAGGAAUACCGGUGGCGAAGGCGGGUAACUGGCUAGACACUGACACUCAGACCCGAAAGUGCGGGGAUCAAACAGG